AACGAACGCUGGCGGCAGGCCUAACACAUGCAAGUCGAGCGAGAUCUUCGGGUCUAGCGGCGGACGGGUGAGUAACGCGUGGGAAUAUGCCCUUCUCUGCGGAAUAGCCUCGGGAAACUGAGCGUAAUACCGCAUACGCCCUUUGGGGGAAAGAUUUAUCGGAGAAGGAUUAGCCCGCGUUGGAUUAGGUAGUUGGUGGGGUAACGGCCUACCAAGCCGACGAUCCAUAGCUGGUUUGAGAGGAUGAUCAGCCACACUGGGACUGAGACACGGCCCAGACUCCUACGGGAGGCAGCAGUGGGGACUCUUAGACAAUGGGGGCAAGCCUGAUCUAGCCAUGCCGCGUGAGUGAUGAAGGCCUAGGGUUGUAAAGCUCUUUCAGCUGGGAAGAUAAUGACGGUACCAGCAGAAGAAGCCCCGGCUAACUCCGUG
RNAcentral lists this ribosomal RNA (432 nucleotides) under uncultured bacterium. RNAcentral's name for it is "partial 16S ribosomal RNA". It matches the Rfam family "Bacterial small subunit ribosomal RNA", at positions 29 to 507 of the family's 1533-position model. The record is from RNAcentral.